This 1480-nucleotide long non-coding RNA is filed under the name Salmo salar (Atlantic salmon). Its description in RNAcentral is "lncRNA (ENSSSAG00000095975.1)". The record is from RNAcentral. Lineage: Eukaryota; Metazoa; Chordata; Actinopteri; Salmoniformes; Salmonidae.
AGCAGAACUUACACCAUCCCCAACCCUAUCCACAAUGUCCUAGCAGAACGUACACCAUCCCCAUCCCUAUCCACAAUGUCCUAGCAGAACUUACACCAUCCCCAACCCUAUCCACAAUGUCCCAGCAGAACUUACACCAUCCCCAUCCCUAUCCACAAUGUCCUAGCAGAACUUACACCAUCCCUAUCCACAAUGUCCUAGCAGAACUUACACCAUCCCCAUCCCUAUCCACAAUGUCCUAGCAGAACUUACACCAUCCCCAACCCUAUCCACAAUGUCCCAGCAGAACUUACACCAUCCCCAUCACUAUCCACAAUGUCCUAGCAGAACUUACACCAUCCCCAUCCCUAUCCACAAUGUCCCAGCAGAACGUACACCAUCCCCAUCCCUAUCCACAAUGUCCCAGCAGAACUUACACCAUCCCCAACCCUAUCCACAAUGUCCUAGCAGAACUUACUCCAUUCCUAUCCACAAUGUCCUAGCAGAACUUACACCAUCCCAUCCCUAUCCACAAUGUCCCAGCAGAACGUACACCAUCCCCAACCCUAUCCACAAUGUCCCAGCAGAACUUACACCAUCCCCAUCUCUAUCCACAAUGUCCUAGCAGAACUUACACCAUCCCAUCCCUAUUCACAAUGUCCGAGCAGAACUUACACCAUCCCCAUCCCUAUCCACAAUGUCCUAGCAGAACUUACAACAUCCCCAUCCAUAUCCACAAUGUCCUAGCAGAACUUACACCAUCCCCAUCCCUAUCCACAAUGUCCUAGCAGAACUUACACCAUCCCCAUCCAUGUCCACAAUGUCCUAGCAGAACUUACACCAUCCCAAACCCUAUCCACAAUGUCCUAGCAGAACUUACACCAUCCCCAACCCUAUCCACAAUGUCCUAGCAGAACUUACACCAUCCCUAUCCACAAUGUCCUAGCAGAACUUAUACCAUCCCCAUCCCUAUCCACAAUGUCCUAGCAGAACUUACACCAUCCCCAUCCAUAUCCACAAUGUCCCAGCAGAACGUACACCAUCCCCAUCCCUAUCCACAAUGUCCCAGCAGAACUUACACCUUCCCCAUCCCUAUCCACAAUGUCCCAGCAGAACUUACACCAUCCCCAACCCUAUCCACAAUGUCCUAGCAGAACUUACACCAUCCCCAGCCAUAUCCACAAUGUCCUAGCAGAACCAAAACCUACUUGUGGCCGGUUUCCACAUCAUCUCCCGACGUCCUCAGACAUGGAUGGACGUCGAUCACUGACUUGUAUCAUGGGUGACCUGGGUGGCAAUAACAACUACCUCAAACUCACAAGAACUGCUCAUUGAUUUCUGGUGGAAGGCAGACCCAGUGAGCCACCUAGUCCUGGGUGGUGAACAAGAAGAGAGAGUGGGGAGUUUGAAGUACCUUGGAACCAUCAUGGACAGCACACUCUCUUUUAAUGCCAACACCCAGAACAUUAAUAAAAAAUACCAACAACGACUACCACACCUG